UUUAAUGAUGAUGUAAUUUGCGCCAGAGAUCUUGCAGAUGGACAAAUGCCUGUUGUCCUCAGCAUCUGCUUGACCACUGUCGAUAAAUAUGUCCUGAAAA
Molecule: small nucleolar RNA, 100 nt
Organism: Rhipicephalus microplus (southern cattle tick)
Lineage: Eukaryota; Metazoa; Arthropoda; Arachnida; Ixodida; Ixodidae
Source: RefSeq, a predicted model, not a curated record